GACGAACUGUUCUAACGUUAUUCGGAAUCACUGGGCUUAAAGGGCGCGUAGGCUGUUUGUUAAGCGGGGUCUGAAAUCCCUCGGCUCAACCGAGGAACUGGGCUUCGAACUGGCAGACUAGAGUGAAGUAGGGGUAAGCGGAACUUGCGGUGGAGCGGUGAAAUGCUUUGAUAUCGCAAGGAACACCGGCGACGAAGGCGGCUUACUGGGCUUCAACUGACGCUUAAGCGCGAAAGCUAGGGUAGCGAACGGGAUUAGAUACCCGCGUAGUCCCUGAGCGGGCUGG
RNAcentral lists this ribosomal RNA (286 nucleotides) under uncultured prokaryote. RNAcentral's name for it is "partial 16S ribosomal RNA". It matches the Rfam family "Bacterial small subunit ribosomal RNA", at positions 524 to 812 of the family's 1533-position model. The record is from RNAcentral.